This 469-nucleotide ribosomal RNA is filed under the name uncultured bacterium. RNAcentral's name for it is "partial 16S ribosomal RNA". It matches the Rfam family "Bacterial small subunit ribosomal RNA", at positions 28 to 508 of the family's 1533-position model. The record is from RNAcentral.
GACGAACGCUGGCGGCGUGCUUAACACAUGCAAGUCGAACGGAAAGGCCCUGCUUUUGUGGGGUGCUCGAGUGGCGAAAGGGUGAGUAACACGUGAGUAACCUGCCCUGGACUUUGGGAUAACUUCAGGAAACUGGGGCUAAUACCGGAUAGGAGCUCGUGCUGGAGGGUGGGGGUUGGAAAGUUUCGGCGAUUGGGGAUGGACUCGCGGCUUAUCAGCUUGUUGGUGGGGUAGUGGCUUACCAAGGCUUUGACGGGUAGCCGGCCUGAGAGGGUGACCGGCCACAUUGGGACUGAGAUACGGCCCAGACUCCUACGGGAGGCAGCAGUGGGGAAUAUUGCACAAUGGGCGGAAGCCUGAUGCAGCAACGCCGCGUGCGGGAUGACGGCCUUCGGGUUGUAAACCGCUUUCGCCUGUGACGAAGCGUGAGUGACGGUAAUGGGUAAAGAAGCACCGGCUAACUACGUGC